UACGGGAGGCAGCAGGGGGAAUAUUGCACAAUGGGCGCAAGCCUGAUGCAGCCAUGCCGCGUGUAUGAAGAAGGCCUUCGGGUUGUAAAGUACUUUCAGUCGUGAGGAAGGUGUUAAGGUUAAUAACCUUAGCAAUUGACGUUAGCGACAGAAGAAGCACCGGCUAACUCCGUGCCAGCAGCCGCGGUAAUACGGAGGGUGCGAGCGUUAAUCGGAAUUACUGGGCGUAAAGGGCACGCAGGCGGUUAAUUAAGUUGGAUGUGAAAUCCCCGGGCUUAACCUGGGAAUGGCAUUCAAGACUGGUUAGCUAGAGUCUUGUAGAGGGGGUAGAAUUCCAUGUGUAGCGGUGAAAUGCGUAGAGAUGUGGAGGAAUACCGGUGGCGAAGGCGGCCCCUGGGACAAAGACUGACGCUCAUGUGCGAAAGCGUGGGGAGCAAACGAGGGAUUAGAUACC
RNAcentral lists this ribosomal RNA (454 nucleotides) under uncultured bacterium. RNAcentral's name for it is "bacterial SSU rRNA". It matches the Rfam family "Bacterial small subunit ribosomal RNA", at positions 340 to 786 of the family's 1533-position model. The record is from RNAcentral.